This is a long non-coding RNA of Oncorhynchus keta (chum salmon), 2426 nucleotides long. RefSeq lists it as uncharacterized. NCBI's taxonomy places the organism in Eukaryota, Metazoa, Chordata, Actinopteri, Salmoniformes, Salmonidae. The record is from RefSeq and is a predicted model, not a curated record. The transcript has 3 exons.
AUAUUUGGGUCAGAUGGUUUCUAGUGGUGCCCGUACAGCUGUAUAAUCCUACUGGAGUUGGAGAAUCUAUGAAACUCCUUAUUAAAUAUAACCUCUGGUUUAAACUCUCAUUCCUUACUUGGUCAGCCUGUCAAUCCCCCUCCCUGCAUCAAAGCUUUAGUAACUUUGUUAACUCUGUUAGCUGCCUGAGUUGGUCUGGUUUAGCUGUCUAGUUUAGCUGUCUAGCUGGUUUAGCUGUGUAUGAAUGUUAUGAGAUGGUUGUAUGAAUGUUAGGAGAUGGUUGUAUGGAUGUUAUGAGAAGGUUGUAUGAAUGUUAGGAGAUGGUUGUAUGGAUGUUAUGAGAAGGUUGUAUGAAUGUUAGGAGAAGGUUGUAUGAAUGUUAGGAGAAGGUUGUAUGGAUGUUAUGAGAAGGUUGUAUGAAUGUUAGGAGAUGGUUGUAUGAAUGUUAUGAGAUGGUUGUAUGAAUGUUAGGAGAUGGUUGUAUGGAUGUUAUGAGAAGGUUGUAUGAAUGUUAGGAGAAGGUUGUAUGAAUGUUAGGAGAAGGUUGUAUGGAUGUUAUGAGAAGGUUGUAUGGAUGUUAUGAGAAGGUUGUAUGAAUGUUAAGAGAAGGUUGUAUGGAUGUUAUGAGAAGGUUGUAUGAAUGUUAGGAGAUGGUUGAAUGAAUGUUCAGUGAUGGUUGUAUGGAUGUUAUGAGGGGCCUCCCGAGUGGUGGUCUAAGGCUGUGCCACUAGAGAUCCUGGUUUGAGUCCAGGCUCUAUCGCAGCGACCGGGAGACCCAUGAGAUGGCGCACAAUUGGCCCAGUGUCGUCCAGGUUAGGGGAGUGCUCUUGUCCCAUUCCACACUAGCUACUCCUGUGGUGUACUCGCCAGGUGUACGGUGUUUGCUCCCACACAUUGGUGUGGAUGGCUUCCGGCUUAAGCGGGCAUUGUGUCAAGAAGCAGUGCGGCUUGGCUGGGUUGUAUUUCGGAGGACGCACGGCUCUCGACCUUCGACCUCGAGUCCGUAAGGGAGUUGCAGCGAUGGGACAAGACUGUAACUAUCAGUUGGAUACCACGAAAUUGGGGAGAAAAAGGGGUAAAAAUUAAAAGUAAAUUAUGUUCUGUGAUGGUUGUAUGAAUGUUCUGUGAUGGUUGUAUGAAUGUUCUGUGAUGGUUGUGUGAAUGUUCUGUGAUGGUUGUAUGAAUGUUCUGUGAUGGUUGUAUGAAUGUUCUGUGAUGGUUGUGUGAAUGUUCUGUGAUGGUUGUAUGAAUGUUCUGUGAUGGUUGUAUGAAUGUUCUGUGAUGGUUGUAUGAAUGUUCUGUGAUGGUUGUGUGAAUGUUCUGUGAUGGUUGUAUGAAUGUUCUGUGAUGGUUGUAUGAAUGUUCUGUGAUGGUUGUAUGAAUGUUCUGUGAUGGUUGUAUGAAUGUUCUGUGAUGGUUGUGUGGAGGUUCCUCCCAAUACAUUGAGGUUGACAGGUCUUCUCAGUGUUCUCUGACCCUGAGGUAGUGUUAGGGGUCGGGGUUAGGUAGGGUUACUGAGGUAGUGUUAGGGGUCGGGGUUAGGUAGGGUUAGGGGUCGGGGUUAGGUAGGGUUAGUGAGGUAGUGUUAGGGGUCAGGGUUAGGUAGGGUUACUGAGGUAGUGAUAGGGGUCAGGGUUAGGUAGGGUUAGUGAGGUAGGGUUAGGGGUCGGGGUUAGGUAGGGUUACUGAGGUAGGGUUAGGGGUCAGGGUUAGGUAGGGUUACUGAGGUAGUGUUAGGGGUCGGGGUUAGGUAGGGUUACUGAGGUAGGGUUAGGGGUCAGGGUUAGGUAGGGUUACUGAGGUAGUGUUAGGGGUCAGGGUUAGGUAGGGUUAGUGAGAUGGGGUCAGGGUUAGGUAGGGUUAGGGGUCGGGGUUAGGUAGGGUUACUGAGGUAGGGUUAGGGGUCAGGGUUAGGUAGGGUUACUGAGGUAGUGAUAGGGGUCAGGGUUAGGUAGGGUUAGUGAGAUGGGGUCAGGGUUAGGUAGGGUUAGGGGUCGGGGUUAGGUAGGGUUACUGAGGUAGGGUUAGGGGUCAGGGUUAGGUAGGGUUACUGAGGUAGUGUUAGGGGUCAGGGUUAGGUAGGGUUAGUGAGGUAGGGUUAGGGGUCAGGAUUAGGUAGGUUAGUGAGGUGGGGUCAGGGUUAGGUAGGGUUGGGGGUCAGGGUUAGGUAGGGUUACUGAGGUAGGGUUACGGGUCAGGGUUAGGUAGGGUUAGUGAAGUAGGGUUAGGGGUCUGGGUUGUUUGUUUGGUAGGGUUAGUUUGAUAGACAGGUGUCAGAUUUAGUGUCUGAGCCUGAACCAACUGACCUCUAAACUCUAACCUCUGACCUGGAAGUCUUAUGAAUAGCUCUCUGGCAUUGCUGUCUGACCUCGUACCCGACAGGAAGUCUGAGGUCUUACGCAAAACACAACUCUGUCCUCCAGACU